UCGGUAAAACUCGUGCCAGCCACCGCGGUUAUACGAGAGACCCCAGUUGAUAAAUACGGCGUAAAGAGUGGUUAGAGGACCCCCAUAAUAAAGCCAAAGACCCCCCAGGCCGUCACACGCAUACGAGGGCACGAAGUUCACACACGAAAGUAGCUUAAAUUACCCGAAGCCACGAAAGCUAAGAAACAAACUGGGAUUAGAUACCCC
This 207-nucleotide ribosomal RNA is filed under the name Hoplias sp. I-GIA:1153. RNAcentral's name for it is "partial small subunit ribosomal RNA". Lineage: Eukaryota; Metazoa; Chordata; Actinopteri; Characiformes; Erythrinidae. The record is from RNAcentral.